Xiphophorus couchianus (Monterrey platyfish) is the source of this 3875-nucleotide long non-coding RNA. RefSeq lists it as uncharacterized. The record is from RefSeq and is a predicted model, not a curated record. The transcript is spliced from 6 exons. NCBI's taxonomy places the organism in Eukaryota, Metazoa, Chordata, Actinopteri, Cyprinodontiformes, Poeciliidae.
ACAACCGCAGCGUGAACAGGGGAGGACGCACCUAUUCCAGUUGCACAAUGCUGAGAGAGGAUAGGCGAAACCUUGGACCACCAACGGCAAAUUGGCAAUCUGGGGGAGGCUGUCAACGGGCCGCUAUGGUUCGACAAUCCACAAACAGCUGGGGGUCGUGGAGACGGGGGCUGCCAGGGUACAAAGCGACGCAUCGGUGGCCAACCAUGGGAAAGAGCUGUCAACACGCUUGCCCAGCUGGCAGUCACAACGCUCCCACGGGGCCCACAGUCGACUGAAGUGAAGAGUUAAGGAUGCUGAGGGAUCAUAAGGGAUACCUGCAAGAGCAGGGGAAUCUUAACUCUGAUGAACCUCUGUCAACAAGAUGAAUAGUUGGCCCAGCAUCAAAGGCAGACUCCAGCCGGCCAUUCUGACCACCACAAAGGGGCGUUGGGCGCUGGCGCGGGGCCAGGUGCUACACAUGGUCACAUGGGGACAAGCAGUGCAGAUGGGCCCUGCAGAGGCCUUGUCGCCCUCCACCCCCACGCCUGCACACCAGAGAGCACAGAUCUAAGACUUGGGCCGCCUGUGGAACUGAACCAGCUGAGGACUGCCUACAGUUGGAUUCCAAGGUUGGACCAGGACCAAAAGGAGCUGAAGAAGGAUUUUCAGAACAUUUUUCAGUAUCUUGGCAUCCAGGAGUGAAAAAUGGAGUUUAGGCAUCCAAAACAAGAAUUUUUUUAAAUCAGUCACAAUGGAGGGACUGUUAACAUGAGGAGGCCUUUUCUAGGUUAUGUCACUCUGUCUCAGUUGCAUUCAGUUCUGGGUUUUCACUAGACUAAUUCACCAAAUUCACCCAGAGGUGGAAUUGCUGGUGAUUUGAAAUAUCUGAAUAUUUGCCUUCAGGAUUUUCUGGCAGAGAGCAAAAAUUGCAGCAAGAUCUCCAGAACUUUAUGCCUGUAAGUAGCCCCAGUCAAAUAAACCAUUGCUACUCUGUUUGCCUAUUGGUUUAAUAUUCACUUUCUAAAAUGCUGUUAGUUUUACACCAGAUCUCAGGUUCCAAAAAUAUUUGCUUUGGUCUCAUCAGUCCACAAAAUAAUCCCCCAAAGUCAUCAUAAUUUAUUUAUUUAUUUAUUUUUUUUGGUCAUAAGAUGUAUUUUUGUGUUCUUUUUCGCCAGCUGUGGAAUAUUUUCUUACUCUGCAUUAAAAGUAACUUUGGUCGGCUGGUGACUCCUGGGAAGGGUUCCUAUGGUUUUAUGCCUAAUUGAGAAACUUUGUUGCUUAUCUGUUCUUUAGGUCAGGGCAUGAGGUCCUGUUUUAGAUCUUUCUCAUGUAUUUAAGUGUUUUCUUGACUAGGUGUGCAGUAAUCAGGCCUGGAUAGCUCAUUCAGAUUGCUUUUUUUAUUAUUAAUGAAAUCAUUUAAAAACUGCUUUUUGUAUUUACUCAUGUUAUCCUUGUUUUAUAAUGAAAUUGAUCUGAUCGUAUAAAACAUGUUAGUGUGACCAAACAGCAAUAAUAGAGUAAAUCUAUAAAAGGGAAAUGUUUAUUUCAUUUCAGUGCUCACGGAAAUUUUGAUCGAGAAAUAGGCGGAGUAGAUUUAGCUCCGAUGCACCUAGUCAGAAAUAUAUUUUCUUUUCUAUCACAAAGUCUCUGUAGAGGCAAAUACAUCACUCUUACGACAGUUGGAAAAUCUGACUACAGCUGCUCCAAGAGACGAGAUACGGAUCUGAAGAAACCGAAAUUCUGAGCUAAACACUUCCUCUCCUUUCAGAUGCUCGCCACCAUCAACAAGAAGGUUUGCUGAUAGGUCACCAAAACAAUUUACUUGUGCAAAAUACAAACAAACACCCAGGCCACCUUUGGGUUAAGUUUGUCUUUGUUGUGUGAAUUGUAUCGCUCUGUUGCAUUUGUAGCCAAAAUAACAGCGACAAUAGCGGUGUUUUGAGACGUGCGGCAAAGCAGGCAGCCGAGGGCACAACGUCGCAAACCUUCUUGCCGCUUGCAGAGCAAGAGCUGCUUUGUUUAAAUUUCCCCAGAUCAAAGGGUGCAAUGCAAAUUCCUGCAGCUUCCACGACGCCAUUUGAUGUUUGAAGGAGCCAAAUUAUUGCGGCGAUUACAGUAGCCGUGCACAAUCGAUGGAGCAGUCCAAACAAGCUCUUUAUUGUGGCUCUCAAUUAGCGGUGUGACAUCUCAGCACCCAACGUCUGAGAGGCGUCCUACAAUAGGAGAGGCUGUUUGGGCUGAUAAAGUGAUUUGGCUUGGUGGGGUCCUUUCAUCUUCACUGACAGCAGGGUAUUCAAGGCUUCUGGGUAUUCUUUCUCCACAUCCUCACGCCUCGCCUUUAUUGUGACAAUAGCGCCACUGUGUUUAGUGUCUCAAAAUUGCCACAAGACUCUUUCUCUGUGUGUAACUACCAACUAGUUGCCUCUCAGGCGGGCUGCUGUGAUGAGGAUCAUUGUUUAAAAUGAAAUGAUCAGCGAUGUCCUGAGACGCAGUCAGUUAAAUGAACUCCUGUUUCUGUUGCAGCAAUUUGUGACUAUGUUCACAGUUGGCUGCGGCAUUCUGAUACCAUUCACGAAGUUGGUGAAGGCAGCAUUAUUGUUGUUGCUUGUGUAGUCGCUGAGAAGCAACUACAUGAGUUGAAACGAUAACUUUGCCCGUGGGAAGGACGGAGAACCAGAGGAUCAGGUUCAGCUGAUAACACUUUGCAUUCUGCAGGCGCCAGUGACGGCUCUGAUGCCUCAUGUUUGAUUCUCUCUUUCAUGUUCUGCCUUCACUCUCGAUGUAAGCAGCAUGGGUGAGGAGGAGGUGAAGCGAUGGCGAGAUGACUACAGAGGUUUACAGAAACCGGGAUUUGAUGCUUCUCUGUCAAGCUGAUGGACAGAGGACUAAAGGGAUGUUGGUUUUAAAGCGCUGCAGGCUCUCACAGCAGGCUGCAUCACUGGCAAUAAUCUGAAGAAAGUGGUUUGCCUGCAAAGAAAUGCUGCAUAAGAAAGCUAUAGGCUGUAUAUAUAUAUUUUUUUAAAUGAUUGUAGAUAGAAUGACAUGCAGUUAGGAUAAGGGUCAUGCUAGUUCAAAAUAAAUGUUUAAAUAGUCUUUUUUCACAUUUCGUCACAUUGCAACCAUAAAUGUAAUCUGGGGAUUAUAGCUUUAAAAACAAAAACUGUGCAUGGCUGUGAAGUUGUUGGAAAAUGAAUCAUGGUUUUCAACUUCUUAUGUACGUGGAUUUGUAUUCAGCACUUGUCACUCAAUGAUUAAUAGAACCUCCUUUCACUUGCAGCAAUUUACUAUUACAGUUGUGAGUUUAUUGGGGAUGUCUCUACAAGCUUUAAACAUGAAGAGACGGCUGAGUCCUACUGUCUGCAGCGCAUCACCGCACAUUAAUGUUUAAGUUUUACCUAAAAAAUAAAAAAAACCUUAAUUCGAUUUAGGUCGAAGCGAUGAUAAAACAUAAAUAAUGCUUUGAUCGAAGCUGUUGCACUGUAUUUCCAGAUCUGGCUGAGGGUUUAGCGAUGUUCUCAUACUGGAAUGUAAACUUCUACCACAGUCUCAAAUAUUUCACAGCUUCUAGCAGGUUUUCUCCCAGGAUUACCUCGUAUUUAGCUCCCUCUUCCUUCCUACGCACUCUGACCAGCAUUUACAUCUCUGGUCAUGAAUGACAUUCCCAAAGGAUGACGCUACCACCACCGUGAGAUUGUAAUCUAACACUAAUAAACUCAGUGUGUUGAAGGUCCACCAAAUGUAGGUCAAACAUUUCAUUUGAGCUUUUAGCACCUUCUCCCACAUGUCUGCAAUAUUCUUUACAUGGCUUGUGGCAAAUUUCUGAAGAAAAGUCUACUUGCUACCUGAGCCGUGGAUCUCGGCAGCUCCUCCAGAGUUACAGUGGACCUCUGGGC